Molecule: ribosomal RNA, 253 nt
Filed under: uncultured bacterium
Lineage: Bacteria
Also listed under: 1 other name
Description: partial 16S ribosomal RNA
Rfam family: Bacterial small subunit ribosomal RNA
Source: RNAcentral
UACAGAGGUCUCAACCGUUGUUCGGAUUCAUUGGGCGUAAAGGGUGCGUAGGCGGUCGCGCAAGUCGGAUGUGAAAUCUCAGGGCUCAACCCUGAAACUGCAUUCGAUACUGCGUGGCUAGAGUACUGGAGAGGAGACUGGAAUUUACGGUGUAGCAGUGAAAUGCGUAGAUAUCGUAAGGAAGACCAGUGGCGAAGGCGAGUCUCUGGACAGUAACUGACGCUGAGGCACGAAGGCCAGGGGAGCAAACGGG